UUUUUUAUCUGCAAUGCUUCAAGGAGUCCGUUUAUUAAAAAUAUUAUAACCUGAUAUUAAAAUGACAGUUAAUCCCAUUUUUCUCAUACAUGAGGGAUUCUAGGUGGGUUUGAGUAACAAGUUAUAUAAAACACAGAUGUAAGUGAGUUGCUAGCUGACAUUGCAAUCGUUAUUAUCUACUUACACCACCUGACAAUUAAU
This is a long non-coding RNA of Cydia amplana, 201 nucleotides long. RefSeq lists it as uncharacterized. The transcript has 2 exons. The record is from RefSeq and is a predicted model, not a curated record. NCBI's taxonomy places the organism in Eukaryota, Metazoa, Arthropoda, Insecta, Lepidoptera, Tortricidae.